Molecule: ribosomal RNA, 370 nt
Filed under: uncultured bacterium
Lineage: Bacteria
Description: bacterial SSU rRNA
Rfam family: Bacterial small subunit ribosomal RNA
Source: RNAcentral
ACGCGAAGAACCUUACCAAGGCUUGACAUAUAGCGAAAAGUGGCAGAGAUGUCAUGUCCGCAAGGGCGCUAUACAGGUGGUGCAUGGUUGUCGUCAGCUCGUGUCGUGAGAUGUUGGGUUAAGUCCCGCAACGAGCGCAACCCUCGUUCUGUGUUACCAGCAUUAAGUUGGGGACUCACAGGAGACUGCCGGGGUCAACUCGGAGGAAGGUGGGGAUGACGUCAAAUCAUCAUGCCCCUUAUGUCUUGGGCUGCACGCAUGCUACAAUGGCCGGUACAAAGUGCUGCGAGAUCGUAAGAUUGAGCGAAUCACAUAAAGCCGGUCUCAGUUCGGAUUGAGGUUUGCAACUCGACCUCAUGAAGUCGGAGUU